AUUGAACGCUGGCGGCAUGCUUUACACAUGCAAGUCGAACGGCAGCACGGACUUCGGUCUGGUGGCGAGUGGCGAACGGGUGAGUAAUACAUCGGAACGUACCCAGUAAUGGGGGAUAACUAUCCGAAAGGAUAGCUAAUACCGCAUACGCCCUACGGGGGAAAGAGGGGGAUCGCAAGACCGCUUUUUAUUGGAGCGGCCGAUGGCUGAUUAGGUAGUUGGUGGGGUAAAGGCCUACCAAGGCAACGAUCAGUAGCGGGUCUUAGAGGACGAUCCGCCACACUGGAACUGAGACACGGUCCAGACUCCUACGGGAGGCAGCAGUGGGGAAUCUUGGACAAUGGGCGCAAGCCUGAUCCAGCAAUGCCGCGUGCGUGAAGAAGGCCUUCGGGUUGUAAAGCGCUUUUGUCAGGGAGCAAAUCCUUGUGGCUAAUACCCACCGGGGAUGAGAGUACCUGAAGAAUAAGGACCGGCUAACUACGUGCCAGCCGCCGCGGUAA
Molecule: ribosomal RNA, 500 nt
Filed under: uncultured bacterium
Lineage: Bacteria
Description: partial 16S ribosomal RNA
Rfam family: Bacterial small subunit ribosomal RNA
Source: RNAcentral